Neolamprologus brichardi is the source of this 164-nucleotide small nuclear RNA. RefSeq annotates it as U1 spliceosomal RNA. Lineage: Eukaryota; Metazoa; Chordata; Actinopteri; Cichliformes; Cichlidae. The record is from RefSeq and is a predicted model, not a curated record.
UUACUUAUCUGACAGAGAUGAUACUGCGAUCAUGAAGGUGAUUCAUCCAAAGUGAGGUUCUCCUCUCGCACACUGGCUAUUCUGACCUUUGUGAAUUCUCCAAACGCGGGACUGUCAACUGCACAAUUUAUGUUGGUGGGGAAAUGCGUGCGUGCUCUCCCCCC